This 425-nucleotide ribosomal RNA is filed under the name uncultured bacterium. Its description in RNAcentral is "partial 16S ribosomal RNA". It matches the Rfam family "Bacterial small subunit ribosomal RNA", at positions 354 to 796 of the family's 1533-position model. The record is from RNAcentral.
GUGGGGAAUAUUGAACAAUGGGCGCAAGCCUGAUCCAGCCAUGCCGCGUGAGUGAUGAAGGCCUUAGGGUUGUAAAGCUCUUUCAGUAGGGAAGAUAAUGACGGUACCUACAGAAGAAGCCCCGGCUAACUUCGUGCCAGCAGCCGCGGUAAUACGAAGGGGGCUAGCGUUGUUCGGAUUUACUGGGCGUAAAGCGCACGUAGGCGGAUUGGUCAGUUAGAGGUGAAAUCCCGAAGCUCAACUUCGGAACUGCCUUUAAUACUGCCAGUCUCGAGUCCGGAAGAGGUGAGUGGAACUCCUAGUGUAGAGGUGGAAUUCGUAGAUAUUAGGAAGAACACCAGUGGCGAAGGCGGCUCACUGGUCCGGUACUGACGCUGAGGUGCGAAAGCGUGGGGAGCAAACAGGAUUAGAAACCCCGGUAGUCC